Molecule: long non-coding RNA, 430 nt
Organism: Perca flavescens (yellow perch)
Lineage: Eukaryota; Metazoa; Chordata; Actinopteri; Perciformes; Percidae
Exons: 3
Source: RefSeq, a predicted model, not a curated record
GUUCAAUCUUGAAUAUCAAGAGUCAGCAUCUACUACACUGGAGUUGGUACAAGGAUCAACCCAGAUGAGGGAAGCAAGUGCAUGGCCGAAGUGGGUACAAGCCGCAAUACGGGAGUUGUCCAAAGAAAGGUGACAAGCAUCAGCUCCCAAGUCACCACCUUCCUCCAACGGCUCACCGAGUUUGAGUGGAAGACAUCAAACUAGUCCAGGACGGACCACCCCAGCAGAUGUGGAUCAGCAAGCAUGAGUAUCAUGGGUCCGGACCCUUCAUCGUCCUUAACAAAUGCUUCUCAACAGACUGCUUCUCCUUCCCCUCCCCAACCAAAUGCCCAACAACUUCACCUCUGUGGUAAACAACCAUACCACAUUUUUCAAACAUACUCAGGAUUUCAAAGAAAAAAACAACUGCCGAGAUAAAGGAUGAACUGAU